Molecule: ribosomal RNA, 253 nt
Filed under: uncultured bacterium
Lineage: Bacteria
Description: partial 16S ribosomal RNA
Rfam family: Bacterial small subunit ribosomal RNA
Source: RNAcentral
CACGUAGGGUGCGAGCGUUGUCCGGAAUUAUUGGGCGUAAAGAGCUCGUAGGCGGUUUGUCGCGUCGGCUGUGAAAGCCCGGAGCUCAACUCCGGGUCUGCAGUCGAUACGGGCAGACUUGAGUGUUGCAGGGGAGACUGGAAUUCCUGGUGUAGCGGUGAAAUGCGCAGAUAUCAGGAGGAACACCGGUGGCGAAGGCGGGUCUCUGGGCAACAACUGACGCUGAGGAGCGAAAGCGUGGGGAGCGAACAGG